GACGAAGGAUGCAAGCGUUAUCCGGAUUCAUUGGGUUUAAAGGGAGCGUAGGUGGUCUUAUAAGUCAGUGGUGAAAUCUCUGGGCUUAACCCAGAAAUUGCCAUUGAUACUGUAGGACUUGAGUAUAGUUGCCGUUGGCGGAAUAUGACAUGUAAUGGUGAAAUACAUAGAGAUGUCAUAGAACACCGAUUGCGAAGGCAGCUAACGAAACUAUAACUGACACUGAGGCUCGAAAGUGCGGGGAUCAAACAGG
Molecule: ribosomal RNA, 253 nt
Filed under: uncultured bacterium
Lineage: Bacteria
Description: partial 16S ribosomal RNA
Rfam family: Bacterial small subunit ribosomal RNA
Source: RNAcentral